Molecule: unclassified non-coding RNA, 512 nt
Filed under: Oxytes brachypoda
Lineage: Eukaryota; Viridiplantae; Streptophyta; Magnoliopsida; Fabales; Fabaceae
Description: partial contains external transcribed spacer and 18S ribosomal RNA
Source: RNAcentral
AUUUGCCCGCUUGCCCUCCGGCAUUGUGGGGUGUGGUUCGUUUAGAGGCGUUGGGUCCAGCGCACGUGCGGGCGCAUGAGUGGUAAUGGGAUUGUUUUUGUCGGCUGGCUCCGUGCUCGCGCAUCGAACGGUUGACAUGCUCUCCCCCUCAUUGACACCGAUCUGCCUCCGCGGCAUCGGUGCUUGUUGCCGGUUCCUGUGUUGCGUACCUACUUGAUGGUAUUUGCUGGGCUGUCGAGACACGUUCCACCCAGCCCAUUUUCUGGGGGAUUCCUAAGAAACGCUUGCUGCCGGCGUUGGCCUUGUGGUGCUUCCUCACUGGCUCCCUUCGGCACGCUUGCUUUUGCUGAUCUCUCGGAUACGGUGUAUGCUGUGAACGCGGGUUUGGUGUCCCGUGUUGUUCCUCUAAAAUCGGUUGCCUCGAAUGACGGUUGCCUUGGCGGAGGUUCUGUUCACCUUCACUGUGUGGCAGCACUUGCGCCAAUGGCGAAGUUAGUAACGGAUGCUACCUG